RNAcentral lists this ribosomal RNA (152 nucleotides) under uncultured eukaryote. RNAcentral describes it as "partial 18S ribosomal RNA". It matches the Rfam family "Eukaryotic small subunit ribosomal RNA", at positions 1299 to 1458 of the family's 1831-position model. The record is from RNAcentral.
UGGUGGAGCGAUUUGUCUGGUUAAUUCCGAUAACGAACGAGACUCUAGCCUGCUAAAUAGGCGUUCCCGGUAUCCACAAUAGUGCUACCGGCGAAUAAAAUUCUUCUUAGAGGGACAGGCGGCUUCUAGCCGCACGAGAUUGAGCAAUAACA